This 227-nucleotide long non-coding RNA is filed under the name Lathyrus oleraceus (garden pea). Its description in RNAcentral is "Pisum sativum (pea) long non-coding RNA (PSAT_LNC026724)". The record is from RNAcentral. Lineage: Eukaryota; Viridiplantae; Streptophyta; Magnoliopsida; Fabales; Fabaceae.
UCAGAUGUCUCCAACUCUGAUGAGAAGAAACAUCAUAAGGGAAAUGAUAAGUUUGACGAGAAUAAGAUUCAAUGUUAUUGUUGUAAGAAGUUUGGUCAUGUUGUUGUUGACUGUUGGUCAAAUAAGGAAAGAAAAUUAGAACAAGAAAACGUAGUCAGAGGAAAGUCUGAUGAUGAACCUGUGUUAUUAAUGGCUUCGGAAUCUAAUGGUGGAUAUUUGGUAGACUU